This 2672-nucleotide long non-coding RNA is filed under the name Musa acuminata (dwarf banana). RNAcentral's name for it is "long non-coding RNA (MACU_LNC003393)". The record is from RNAcentral. Lineage: Eukaryota; Viridiplantae; Streptophyta; Magnoliopsida; Zingiberales; Musaceae.
AUGGCAUAGGAAACAUUUUGGAGCAUAUCAAUACAAAAUACGAAACAGAAGCUCAGACGUCGUACCCUAGCAUAGUGCAUGUGAGGUUUAACUCAGUGGUGGCUCCACGCCGUGAUGAGUUCUCGACUCCAUCCACGGGUAGCCCUUUCCUACUCGAGCCCUCUCACCCUGCCCAAGUGCUAGGUCGGAUCUGAAUUUCAUAUCAAACAGAUAAAAGGUGAAGUGGGAUUCCAAACAUAAUAUGGUCUAUCCAUUUCUGAAUGACCACCAAACAUAAUCUAGAGCAUCGCGGGCUCUAAGCACAUACCCUUUACCAUUUCUGGCAAAGGUCCAAAUAAUCCCACAAACACCAGAGUACAUAAGGGUAUUGUGAACAAUAAAUUGGGACAUAUCGGAAGCACAUGCGGAACAACGAAAUUUACAUGUGUCUUUAUAAAACAUUACGAUACAAACAUAAAGUUUACAUAACAGAUUUAGGUAUCCAAAUACAUGUAGGACAAGAGCAUACAAGAAUUCAAAGUAGUAAUAUAAAGCUCAAUGGAAUAAGAAAGGCAAAGGAUAUCAAUUUCCAACGGAAUGAAACCAGAAUAUACGAAAUCGACUAAAGCUCGAUUUCUGGCAAAAUUCAAGAGGUACAUUGAACAAAUGAUUCAAACUAUCAAUCGUGCUCCAAUUUACUCAGAAACAUAUUGUGGAAAGAUAUUUCAAUCUAUUUUCAGAUAAAACAAGUUUCGUAUGAAUCGAAGUUUCCAAUAAAGAGUUACAAUUGAUUUAGUAACCAAAGGUCUGAAAACAAAAUCAUUGUUUUGCAUAAUCAAAAGGGUCGGAUUCAAUAGAUAGCUGAGCAGACAUUUGGACUCUAAAUCUUUUAAUCUAGGUAUCAAAAGAAAGAUCUAUGAUUCUAGUUUCCAAUGUAAUAAGAUUUGAAUAAAUCAAAGUUUUCAAUAGGCCUUAUAGGCAGUUCAGUAUCAAAAGGUCAGAAUCUCAGACGUUGCACAUAUUGGAAUCCUUUCGUCUAAAUAGGAGAUAUAUAAAAUGCAAGGCUAGAACAAUUCAAAUUUCCAUAUAUUCAAAGCAAAUGUAGAGAUCAAAUUGCAGUAAGGAAAGAUCAGGACACUUGCAAUAGAAAAGAUUAGAAAGCUGACAAUAGGAAGGAUUCAGAACACUUGCAAAAAAAGAAAAUGCAAUAGGAAAGAUAAGAAUACUUGCACGAGGAAGAUCAUAAUAUUUGCAAUAAGAAAAAUUAGAACAAUUAUAGGAGAAAUGAUCGGGAAACUUGCAAUAGAAAGGAUCGAAAUAUUUGCAAUAGAAAGGAUUAAAACACUUGCACUAGGAAGAUCAUAAUACUUGCAAUAAGAAAAAUUAGAACAAUUAUAGGAGAAACGAUCGGGAAACUUGCCUUUUGAAGGUUUUGAUCCAAAGAUUCGAAGAAGGUGUACGCUCGAAUCCUUUUUCUAAUUUUCCUCCGUCCCCUCCCAGUUUCGUUUUAUGCACUCGUUUUCUUUCUUUCUUCGCAACUACACACGUGUCGAACAUCGAGGCACAGUCACCUGCUCUCUCUUACUCUCAUUCCUCUGUUUUCUUUUUCAAACACAACUGUCGCAGCCAUCGCCGUUGCCACUACCAUAGUCGUAGCCACGACCGCAGCCGCUGUCACAACCGCAGCCCCUUCCCCUGUACUACUUCCUUCCUCCCUUCUCUCGUUCCUACUUUUUUUUUCCCAAACACAGCUGCCGUAGACACAUCUUUUUUUAUGUAAUUUUUUAUAUAGGUUCUAAAUAUCUGAAAUAUUUAUAUAACAACGGAGUGAGCUAAAAACAGCUCAGCAAGUGACAAAGCAUAUUCAGAACAAAAGGAAUGAUUUCAAACAAGUAAGAUAUCAUAAUACAAGGCAGAAUAUAAGAAUUUUUAAGAUACCAUAUCAUUAGAUACAAAAUCAUAAGUGUCAUGUCAUUCAAAACAUAUUUGGUUCAUAACAGAUGGAGCAUAGAGUAAUUGGAGCAUAUCAAUAGCGUACGAGAUGUUCCGAAGCAUAUCAAUAGUAAAUAGUAUAUUUCAGAACAUAUCAGUUUAUAGCAAAUGGAGCACAGAGUAAUUGGAGCAAAUCAAUAGCGUACGAGAUGUUCCAGUGGUAUGCGAAGCAUUUUGAUGUAUAUCAAUGGUAUAGGAAACAUUUUGGAGCAUAUCAAUACAAAAUACGAAACAGAAGCUCAAACGUCGUACCCUAGCAUAGUGCAUGUGAGGUUUAACUCAGUGAUGGCUCCAUGCCAUGAUGAGUUCUCGACUCCAUCCACGGGUAGCCCUUUCCUACUCGAGCCCUCUCACCCUACCCAAGUGCUAGGUCGGCUCUGAAUUUCAUAUCAAACAGAUAGAAGGUGAAGUGGGAUUCCAAACAUAAUAUGGUCUAUCCAUUUCUGAAUGACCACCAAACAUAAUCUAGAGCAUCGCGGGCUCUAAGCACAUACCCUUUACCAUUUCUAGCAAAGGUCCAAAUAAUCCCACAAACACCAGAGUACAAAAGGGUAUUAUGAACAAUAAAUUGGGACAUAUCGGAAGCACAUGCGGAACAACGAAAUUUACAUGUACUUUUAUGAAACAUUACGAUACAAACAUGAAGUUUACAUAACAGAUUUAGGUAUCCAAAUACAUGUAGGACAAGAGCAUACAAGAAU